RNAcentral lists this ribosomal RNA (498 nucleotides) under uncultured bacterium. RNAcentral describes it as "partial 16S ribosomal RNA". It matches the Rfam family "Bacterial small subunit ribosomal RNA", at positions 30 to 523 of the family's 1533-position model. The record is from RNAcentral.
AUUGAACGCUGGCGGCAUGCCUUACACAUGCAAGUCGAACGGUAACAGGUCUUCGGAUGCUGACGAGUGGCGAACGGGUGAGUAAUACAUCGGAACGUGCCUAGUAGUGGGGGAUAACUACUCGAAAGAGUGGCUAAUACCGCAUGAGAUCUACGGAUGAAAGCAGGGGAUCGCAAGACCUUGUGCUACUAGAGCGGCCGAUGGCAGAUUAGGUAGUUGGUGGGAUAAAAGCUUACCAAGCCGACGAUCUGUAGCUGGUCUGAGAGGACGAUCAGCCACACUGGGACUGAGACACGGCCCAGACUCCUACGGGAGGCAGCAGUGGGGAAUUUUGGACAAUGGGCGAAAGCCUGAUCCAGCAAUGCCGCGUGCAGGAUGAAGGCCUUCGUGUUGUAAACUGCUUUUGUACGGAACGAAAAGCCCCGGGCUAAUACCCUGGGGUCAUGACGGUACCGUAAGAAUAAGCACCGGCUAACUACGUGCCAGCCGCCGCAGUAA